UACGUAGGGUGCAAGCGUUAAUCGGAAUUACUGGGCGUAAAGCGUGCGCAGGCGGUUUUGUAAGUCAGAUGUGAAAUCCCCGGGCUUAACCUGGGAACUGCGUUUGAAACUACAAGGCUAGAGUGUGACAGAGGGGGGUGGAAUUCCACGUGUAGCAGUGAAAUGCGUAGAGAUGUGGAGGACACCGAUGGCGAAGGCAGCCCCCUGGGUUAACACUGACGCUCAGGCACGAAAGCGUGGGGAGCAACAGG
Molecule: ribosomal RNA, 251 nt
Filed under: uncultured bacterium
Lineage: Bacteria
Description: partial 16S ribosomal RNA
Rfam family: Bacterial small subunit ribosomal RNA
Source: RNAcentral